RNAcentral lists this transfer RNA (72 nucleotides) under Fukomys damarensis (Damara mole-rat). It matches the Rfam family "tRNA". From Rfam's summary of the family: Transfer RNA (tRNA) molecules are approximately 80 nucleotides in length. Their secondary structure includes four short double-helical elements and three loops (D, anti-codon, and T loops). The record is from Rfam by way of RNAcentral. Lineage: Eukaryota; Metazoa; Chordata; Mammalia; Rodentia; Bathyergidae.
CGGGGCGUAGCUCAGUGGUACAGCACUUGCCUAGAACACGCAAGGCCCUGGGUUCAAUUCCUAGCACUGCAA